This 640-nucleotide ribosomal RNA is filed under the name Papiliotrema laurentii. Its description in RNAcentral is "eukaryotic LSU rRNA". It matches the Rfam family "Eukaryotic large subunit ribosomal RNA", at positions 38 to 667 of the family's 3401-position model. Lineage: Eukaryota; Fungi; Basidiomycota; Tremellomycetes; Tremellales; Rhynchogastremaceae. The record is from RNAcentral.
GCGUAUCAAUAAGCGGAGGAAAAGAAACUAACAAGGAUUCCCCUAGUAACGGCGAGUGAACCGGGAAGAGCUCAAAUUUGAAAUCUGGCGUCCUCAGGGCGUCCGAGUUGUAAUCUAUAGAGGCGUUUUCCGUGCCGGACCGUGUCCAAGUUCCUUGGAACAGGAUAUCAAAGAGGGUGACAAUCCCGUACUUGACACGACGACCGGUGCUCUGUGAUACGUCUUCUACGAGUCGAGUUGUUUGGGAAUGCAGCUCAAAAUGGGUGGUGAGUUCCAUCUAAAGCUAAAUAUUGGCGAGAGACCGAUAGCGAACAAGUACCGUGAGGGAAAGAUGAAAAGCACUUUGGAAAGAGAGUUAAACAGUACGUGAAAUUGUUGAAAGGGAAACGAUUGAAGUCAGUCGUGACCGAGAGGCUCAGCCGGCUCUGCCGGUGUAUUCCCCUCGGUCGGGUCAACAUCAGUUUUGUCCGGUGGAUAAGGGCGGUAGGAAGGUGGCACCCUCGGGUGUGUUAUAGCCUGCCGUCGCAUACAUCGGGUGAGACUGAGGAACGCAGCUCGCCUUUAUGGCCGGGGUUCGCCCACGUCCGAGCUUAGGAUGUUGACAUAAUGGCUUUAAACGACCCGUCUUGAAACACGGACC